GAGGAGGUGGCCGAGUAGUUAAGGCGAUGGCCUGCUUAUACAUUGGCCUCUGCCUGCGUGGGUUCGAAUCCCAUACUCGUCU
Molecule: non-coding RNA, 82 nt
Organism: Araneus ventricosus
Lineage: Eukaryota; Metazoa; Arthropoda; Arachnida; Araneae; Araneidae
Source: the annotation of a GenBank genome assembly